CCUACGGGUGGCAGCAGUGAGGAAUAUUGGUCAAUGGGCGAGAGCCUGAACCAGCCAAGCCGCGUGAGGGAUGAAGGACCUAUGGUUGGUAAACUUCUUUUAUAUGGGAAUAAAGUGAGGAACGUGUUCCUUAUUGUAUGUACCAUAUGUACAAGCAUCGCCUAACUCCGUGCCAGCAGCCGCGGUAAUACGGAGGAGGCGGGCGUUAUCCGGAUUUAUUGGGUUUAAAGCGUGCGUAGGGGGUGAAUUAAGUCAGCGGUGAAAGUUUGUGGCUCAACCAUGAAAUUGCCGUGGAAACUGGUUGACUUGAGUAUAUUUGAGGUAAGUGGAAUGCGUGGUGUAGCGGUGAAAUGCAUAGAUAUCACGCAGAACACCGAUUGCGAAGGCAGCUAACUAAACUAUAACUGACACUGAGGCACGAAAGCGUGGGGAUCAGACAGGAUUAGAUACCCCAGUAGUC
Molecule: ribosomal RNA, 460 nt
Filed under: uncultured bacterium
Lineage: Bacteria
Description: partial 16S ribosomal RNA
Rfam family: Bacterial small subunit ribosomal RNA
Source: RNAcentral